Molecule: ribosomal RNA, 369 nt
Filed under: Corallinales sp. ARS-2011
Lineage: Eukaryota; Rhodophyta; Florideophyceae; Corallinales
Description: bacterial LSU rRNA
Rfam family: Bacterial large subunit ribosomal RNA
Source: RNAcentral
CUUUACUGUAGCUUGAAAUUGAGUUUGGAUUUGUUAUGUGCAGCAUAGGUGGGAGGCUGAGAGAAUGUGUUUGUGGAUGCAUAGGAGCCGACAGUGAGAUACCACUCUUAAUAAAUUAGAAUUCUAAUUUUGAAUUCCAUUAACUGGACAAAAAACAUUUUCAGGUGGGCAGUUUGACUGGGGCGGUCGCCUCCUAAAAAGUAACGGAGGCGUGCAAAGGUUUCCUCAGGCUGGUCGGAAAUCAGUCGUAGAGUGUAAAGGCAUAAGGAAGCUUGACUGCAAGACCUACAAGUCGAGCAGAGACGAAAGUCGGCCUUAGUGAUCCGACAGUACCGAGUGGAAGGGCUGUCGCUCAACGGAUAAAAGUUA